GGCGGCGUGCCUAACACAUGCAAGUCGUACGAGAAGUCGGCUUCGGCUGAUGAGUAAAGUGGCGACGGGUGAGUAACGCGUGGAUAAUCUGCCUUUAGUUGGGAAUAACGUACCGAAAGGUGCGCUAAAUACCGGAUAAUACUGCAUAACUACUGUUGUGUAGUCAAAGAAGGCCUCUGUUUACAAGCUUUUGCUGAAAGAUGAGUCCGCGUACCAUUAGCUAGUUGGUAGGGUAAUGGCCUACCAAGGCUACGAUGGUUAGCUGGUCUGAGAGGAUGAUCAGCCACACUGGAACUGAGACACGGUCCAGACUCCUACGGGAGGCAGCAGUGAGGAAUAUUGCGCAAUGGGGGCAACCCUGACGCAGCAACGCCGCGUGAGUGAGGAAGGUUUUCGGACCGUAAAGCUCUGUCGAGCGGGAAGAAAUGUAUCGUGGCUAAUAUCCAUGAUAUUUGACGGUACCGCUAAAGGAAGCACCGGCUAACUCCGUG
RNAcentral lists this ribosomal RNA (491 nucleotides) under uncultured bacterium. Its description in RNAcentral is "bacterial SSU rRNA". It matches the Rfam family "Bacterial small subunit ribosomal RNA", at positions 38 to 507 of the family's 1533-position model. The record is from RNAcentral.